This is a long non-coding RNA of Anolis carolinensis (green anole), 1859 nucleotides long. RefSeq lists it as uncharacterized. The transcript has 3 exons. NCBI's taxonomy places the organism in Eukaryota, Metazoa, Chordata, Lepidosauria, Squamata, Anolidae. The record is from RefSeq and is a predicted model, not a curated record.
GCCCCCUCCUCGCGCUCGGGGAGACCCGGAGCGGACAGGUCUCCUCUCCAGAUGCCCAAGCGGCGCGCGCCAAGCCUGAGGCGGCUGCUUCAAGCAGAACCCGCGAAGGACGGGUUCCUAUUGGAGGCGCCCUCCGACCAGACUUUCAGGAACCUUAUCACAUGCCCACCACACCGAUGCUGUUUCACCAGAAAGCAUUGCAAAACUGCAGCUGCACCAGGCGACUCCAGCACCCUGCGCGCUGAUCAAAUGCGGCAAUGUUUUUUCCAUCACACGAAGGGUCGCCCAGUCGGGGCAAAAGUGUGCUGACUCAAUUGAAGCCAGCACAAUACAGGAGGCCUCCUAUGUUGACAAGGAAGAGUCCUAGGAUGCUAUCAUGUGGGGGCGGGGCUCCACCAGAAGUUGAGGGACAUCAUGUGAUAGGCUGUGUACCUAUCUAACCCUCAACUGGCUAGCAAGCAUCCUAGAAUGCUUAAAUUGCUUGUGAUCCAUUUAUCUGCAAGUGCUGGUGGAGGAAGAAGAUUUAUUUGAAGCAGAGAAAGACAUAAAGAAGGUAUAAUGCUUCGAGAAAUUUACAAAGGACAUUUUAAAGCACCUGUUGUUGCUGUUGUAUUUUCCAUUUUCUCUACCUGAUAGGGAAAAAAGAAGAGCGCAACUUGAGGUUAAUUCAUUUCUGUGGUUGCUGCAGCAACUAGUCUGACUUCACACUCUAUGGGUUGGAAUUCAUUGUCUUUGCUUUUUAGAUGGACAAGCAGUGUUGGCCUAGGAAUGGGGGCACCAAAACAAAUUCUGCCUUUGUGACUUUGGGAACAAUACAAGCCUUGUGUUCUUCAGUAGCACCAGUAACAGUGUCAGCAGAGCAGGUAGAAAGAGGGAGGCAGAGAGUGACACACUGUCAGCACAAGACAGUGUCAUUCAGGUUGUGUUUGAACCACUGGGUGGUUUUGAAGUUGACAGCCAGAAAUGAUUGAAUGUGCAAGGUUACACAUGCAUCUCCUUAUGAAAUAUCUGUUCUGAUGCAAGAUGCAGAAAGAGGAAAGCCAUAUAACUCUUUGAUGACUUCCUUCGUCAGAAAUCAUGACGAGCAGGUGCCCGGGCAGAGUAGUCCUUGAUCUGAACUUCUGAAGUUUUUAUAAGCAACAAUGGCAACCCGUGAAAUUGCAGAGGUCUGAUCGAAAAAGAAAGAUUUCCAGUUAAUCCAAAAGUUUACCUUUUUUGAGCUCAGGAAAAAAAUGUUUGAAUUCCAGGCCAUUGCAAUAGACAAAUAAAAAUAAGUAAUUAAAACACAGUAUGAUCCCCUUAUCCACUAAUAUAAUAACUACUUACCCAUACUUCAAAUAAUAUCGUCCCCCUCCCAAAGUGUUUGUGGCUUUAUCUGGUACUCCAAUGCAUAUAUGAUAUUUUCCAGCUCAUAUAUAGUCAAAACAUAGGUUUUGCUAUUAUCCCUAGUUUUAGAGACCAAAUUACCAAUAUCCGCUGGAUAAUGAAGGAAGGAAGGGAGUUUCAGAAAAACAUCUAUUUCUGUUUUAUUGACUAUUCUAAAGCCUUUAACAGUGUAGGGUAUAAUAAAUUGUGGCAAGUUCUUGGUGGUAUGGGGAUACCAAGUCACCUUGUCUGAUAACUGAUUAAUAACUGGCAAAUAGAGGCAGUGACAGACUUUGUAUUUCUAGGCACAAAGAUUACUGCAGACGCAGGCUGCAGCCAGGAAAUCAGAAAACAUUUACUUCUUGGGAGAAGAGCAAUGACCAAUCUCAAUAAAAAAGUGAAGAUUAGAGACAUCACACAGGCAAUGAAGGUCCACAUAGUUAUAGCAAUGGUAUUCCCUGUAGUAACCUGUGGAUGCGAGAGCUGUACCAUAA